ACUCCUACGGGAGGCAGCAGUGGGGAAUAUUGGACAAUGGGGGCAACCCUGAUCCAGCCAUGCCGCGUGUGUGAAGAAGGCCUUUUGGUUGUAAAGCACUUUAAGCAGGGAGGAGAGGCUAAUGUUAAUCCCAUUUAAGAUUAGACUGUUACCUGCAGAUAAGACACCGCGUAACUCUGUGCCAGCAGCCGCGGUAAUACAGAGGGUGCGAGCGUUAAUCGGAAUUACUGGGCGUAAAGCGAGUGUAGGUGGCUCAUUAAGUCACAUGUGAAAUCCCCGGGCUUAACCUGGGAACUGCAUGUGAUACUGGUGGUGCUAGAAUAUGUGAGAGGGAAGUAGAAUUCCAGGUGUAGCGGUGAAAUGCGUAGAGAUCUGGAGGAAUACCGAUGGCGAAGGCAGCUUCCUGGCAUAAUAUUGACACUGAGAUUCGAAAGCGUGGGUAGCAAACAGGAUUAGAUACCCUGGUAGCUA
This 471-nucleotide ribosomal RNA is filed under the name uncultured bacterium. RNAcentral's name for it is "bacterial SSU rRNA". It matches the Rfam family "Bacterial small subunit ribosomal RNA", at positions 335 to 796 of the family's 1533-position model. The record is from RNAcentral.